CACGUAGGGGGCGAGCGUUGUCCGGAAUCAUUGGGCGUAAAGAGCUCGUAGGCGGCUCAAUAAGUCGGGUGUGAAACCCCCAGGCUCAACCUGGGGACGCCACCCGAUACUGUUGUGGCUAGAGUCCAGUAGGGGAGUGUGGAAUUCCCGGUGUAGCGGUGAAAUGCGCAGAUAUCGGGAGGAACACCAGCGGCGAAGGCGGCACUCUGGGCUGGUACUGACGCUGAGGAGCGAAAGCGUGGGUAGCAAACAGG
Molecule: ribosomal RNA, 254 nt
Filed under: uncultured bacterium
Lineage: Bacteria
Description: partial 16S ribosomal RNA
Rfam family: Bacterial small subunit ribosomal RNA
Source: RNAcentral